RNAcentral lists this ribosomal RNA (460 nucleotides) under uncultured bacterium. RNAcentral describes it as "partial 16S ribosomal RNA". It matches the Rfam family "Bacterial small subunit ribosomal RNA", at positions 338 to 795 of the family's 1533-position model. The record is from RNAcentral.
CCUACGGGUGGCAGCAGUGAGGAAUAUUGGUCAAUGGACGAGAGUCUGAACCAGCCAAGUCGCGUGAAGGAUGACUGCCCUAUGGGUUGUAAACUUCUUUUAUAUGGGAAUAAAAUCUUCUACGUGUGGCAUUUUGUAUGUACCAUAUGAAUAAGGAUCCGCUCACUCCGUGCCAGCAGCCGCGGUAAUACGGCGGAUGCGCGCGUUAUCCGGAUUUAUUGGGUUUAAAGGGUGCGUAGGUGGGAUGUUAAAUCAGUUGUGAAAGUUUGCGGCUCAACCGUCAAAUUGCCGUUGAAACUGGCCGUCGUGAGUGGAGGAGAGGUAGGCGGAAUUCGUGGUGUAGCGGUGAAAUGCUUAGAUAGCACGAAGAACUCCGAUUGCGAAGGCAGCUUACCGGGCUGCAACUGACACUGAGGCACGAAAGUGUGGGUAUCAAACAGGAUUAGAUACCCGAGUAGUC